This 253-nucleotide ribosomal RNA is filed under the name uncultured bacterium. RNAcentral's name for it is "partial 16S ribosomal RNA". It matches the Rfam family "Bacterial small subunit ribosomal RNA", at positions 524 to 776 of the family's 1533-position model. The record is from RNAcentral.
UACGUAGGUGGCAAGCGAUACUCGGAAUCACUAGGCGUAAAGCGCAGGUAGGAGGUUUGGUAAGUCUGUUGUGAAAGCUCCCGGCUUAACUGGGAGAGGUCAACGGAAACUACCAGGCUAGAGUGCGGUAGAGGUAGCUGGAAUUCCCGGUGUAGCGGUGAAAUGCGUAGAUAUCGGGAGGAAUACCUAUGGCGAAAGCAGGCUACUGGACCGUCACUGACUCUGAGGCGCGAAAGCGUGGGGAGCAAACAGG